AUACGGAGGAUCCGAGCGUUAUCCGGAUUUAUUGGGUUUAAAGGGAGCGUAGGCGGAUGUUUAAGUCGGUUGUGAAAGUUUAAGGCUCAACCUGGGAACUGCAUUUGAAACUGGACGACUUGAGUGCAGGAGAGGAAAGUGGAAUUCCUAGUGUAGCGGUGAAAUGCGUAGAUAUUAGGAGGAACACCAGUGGCGAAGGCGACUUUCUGGACUGUAACUGACGCUGAGGCACGAAAGCGUGGGGAGCGAACAGGAUUAGAUACCCUGGUAGUCCACGCUGUAAACGAUGAAUGCUAGGUGUGGGGUGUCAAAGCUCCGUGCCGCAGUUAACACAAUAAGCAUUCCGCCUGGGGAGUACGGCCGCAAGGUUGA
This 372-nucleotide ribosomal RNA is filed under the name uncultured bacterium. RNAcentral describes it as "bacterial SSU rRNA". It matches the Rfam family "Bacterial small subunit ribosomal RNA", at positions 523 to 897 of the family's 1533-position model. The record is from RNAcentral.